UACGGGGGGGGUAAGCGUUGUUCGGAAUUACUGGGCGUAAAGGGCUCGUAGGCGGCCAACUAAGUCAGACGUGAAAUCCCUCAGCUUAACUGGGGAACUGCGUCUGAUACUGGAUGGCUUGGAUUCGGGAGAGGAAUGCGGAAUUCCAGGUGUAGCGGUGAAAUGCGUAGAUAUCUGGAGGAACACCAGCGGCGAAGGCGGCUUUCUGGCUCAUUCCUGACGCUGAGGAGCGAAAGCGUGGGUAGCGAACGGG
Molecule: ribosomal RNA, 253 nt
Filed under: uncultured bacterium
Lineage: Bacteria
Description: partial 16S ribosomal RNA
Rfam family: Bacterial small subunit ribosomal RNA
Source: RNAcentral